RNAcentral lists this long non-coding RNA (323 nucleotides) under Cricetulus griseus (Chinese hamster). Its description in RNAcentral is "lncRNA (ENSCGRG00000026350.1)". The record is from RNAcentral. Lineage: Eukaryota; Metazoa; Chordata; Mammalia; Rodentia; Cricetidae.
UAUUUUUUCUUUUAUAGCUCUCAAAUCCUGGGACUAAAAGGCAUAGAAUCCCUUGUGAUGGAUCAAUUCAUGUUGCUCAUUGUGUCCUUGAACUGACAUAGAUCCAUCUGGCUGUUUCCUGAAUCCUGGGGUUAAAGGUGUGUGCCACCAUUGCCUGGCUCUAUGGCUUGCUAAAAUGGUUGCUGGGAUUAAAGACUUGUAUCACCACUCCCUGGUUCCAUGGCUUAUAGCUAGCUUUGCUUUCUACACGUGCAGGUGAGCCCAAGGAGUGAUAAAAAUGCUACUCUGCAGAGACAGGCAAAGAAAGCACUGGGGAUUUGAAG